RNAcentral lists this ribosomal RNA (497 nucleotides) under uncultured bacterium. RNAcentral describes it as "partial 16S ribosomal RNA". It matches the Rfam family "Bacterial small subunit ribosomal RNA", at positions 28 to 507 of the family's 1533-position model. The record is from RNAcentral.
GAUGAACGCUGGCGGCGUGCCUAAUACAUGCAAGUCGAGCGAACAGACGAGGAGCUUGCUCCUCUGACGUUAGCGGCGGACGGGUGAGUAACACGUGGAUAACCUACCUAUAAGACUGGGAUAACUUCGGGAAACCGGAGCUAAUACCGGAUAAUAUUUUGAACCGCAUGGUUCAAUAUUGAAAGACGGUUUUGCUUUCACUUUUAGAUGGUUCCGCGCCGCAUUAUCUAGUUGGUAAGGUAACGGCUUACCAAGGCAACGAUGCGUAGCCGACCUGAGAGGGUGAUGGGCCACACUGGAACUGAGACACGGACAAGACUACUACGGGAGGAAGCAGAAGGGAAUAUUCGGCAAUGGGCGAAAGCCUGACGGAGCAAGGCGGCGUGAGUGAGGAAGGUCUUGGGAUCGUAAAACUCUGUUAUUAGGGAAGAAAAAAUGUGUAAGUAAAUAUGCACGUAUUGACGGUACCUAAUCAGAAAGCCACGGCUAACUACGUG